AUGGUAAUUAAUUUUAAAAGGCUUAAUGAUAAUACAGUUGACGAUGCAUACAACAUACCUAAUAAGCAGGAAUGGAUUAACAGAAUACAAGGAAGUAAAUAUUUCUCUAAAUUCGACUUAAAGGCAGGAUUUUGGCAAGUAGAAAUGGUUGAAGAAUCUAUUCCCUGGACAGCAUUUACUUUUCCACAAGGCCAUUAUGAAUGGCUAGUAAUGCCAUUAGGUCUAAAGAAUGCACCUGCACUAUUUCAAAGAAAAAUGCAAAAUAUAUUUAAUGAGAAUCAAGCAUUUAUAUUGGUAUACGUAGAUGAUUUGUUAGUAUUCUCAAAAUCAUACAAAGAGCAUAUAGCCCAUCUUUAA
Molecule: ribosomal RNA, 357 nt
Filed under: Triticum aestivum (bread wheat)
Lineage: Eukaryota; Viridiplantae; Streptophyta; Magnoliopsida; Poales; Poaceae
Description: partial small subunit ribosomal RNA
Source: RNAcentral